CCCUUCUCAGAAUGGCACCUGGAGAGUUUCCAGUACUCUACCAGUCUCAGCUACGGGAGGGAGAGUUAAGAGGGGCAUACCCAUUCCAUUCCUAGCUUGGGCAGUGGCUAGUGAGUGGAAGACAAUCUGCUACAAGU
This is a small nucleolar RNA of Tachyglossus aculeatus (Australian echidna), 137 nucleotides long. The record is from RefSeq and is a predicted model, not a curated record. NCBI's taxonomy places the organism in Eukaryota, Metazoa, Chordata, Mammalia, Monotremata, Tachyglossidae.